RNAcentral lists this ribosomal RNA (393 nucleotides) under uncultured Gammaproteobacteria bacterium. Its description in RNAcentral is "bacterial SSU rRNA". It matches the Rfam family "Bacterial small subunit ribosomal RNA", at positions 370 to 779 of the family's 1533-position model. The record is from RNAcentral. Lineage: Bacteria; Pseudomonadati; Pseudomonadota; Gammaproteobacteria.
AAUGAGCGAAAGCUUGACGGAGCAAUGCCGCGUGUAGGAUGAACCCCCUCGGGGUGUAAACUACUGUCAGGGGCUAGAAACUCAAUGAUCAGCCCCAGAGGAAGAGCCGGCUAACUCUGUGCCAGCAGCCGCGGUAAUACAGAGGGCUCAAGCGUUAAUCGGAAUCACUGGGCUUAAAGGGUGCGUAGGCGGGCUUGUAAGUACUUUGUGAAAUCCCACGGCUCAACCGUGGAACUGCUUGGUAAACUGCAAGCCUUGAGGUCGGUAGAGGCUGUCGGAACUCUAGGUGUAGCGGUGAAAUGCGUAGAUAUCUAGAGGAACGCCCAAGGUGAAGACAGGCAGCUGGGCCGAAUCUGACGCUGAGGCACGAAAGCGUGGGUAGCGAACGGGAUU